UAGGGAAUCUUCGGCAAUGGACGAAAGUCUGACCGAGCAACGCCGCGUGAGUGAAGAAGGUUUUCGGAUCGUAAAACUCUGUUGUUAGAGAAGAACAAGGACGUUAGUAACUGAACGUCCCCUGACGGUAUCUAACCAGAAAGCCACGGCUAACUACGUGCCAGCAGCCGCGGUAAUACGUAGGUUGCAAGCGUUGUCCGGAUUUAUUGGGCGUAAAGCGAGCGCAGGCGGUUUCUUAAGUCUGAUGUGAAAGCCCCCGGCUCAACCGGGGAGGGUCAUUGGAAACUGGGAGACUUGAGUGCAGAAGAGGAGAGUGGAAUUCCAUGUGUAGCGGUGAAAUGCGUAGAUAUAUGGAGGAACACCAGUGGCGAAGGCGGCUCUCUGGUCUGUAACUGACGCUGAGGCUCGAAAGCGUGGGGAGCAAACAGG
This 429-nucleotide ribosomal RNA is filed under the name Gemmatimonadota bacterium. Its description in RNAcentral is "Gemmatimonadetes bacterium partial 16S ribosomal RNA". It matches the Rfam family "Bacterial small subunit ribosomal RNA", at positions 355 to 776 of the family's 1533-position model. Lineage: Bacteria; Pseudomonadati; Gemmatimonadota. The record is from RNAcentral.